GCCGGAGUGGCGGAAUGGCAGACGCAGCGGACUCAAAAUCCGCCGGGAUAACACCCGUGGGAGUUCGACCCUCCCCUCCGGCA
This 83-nucleotide transfer RNA is filed under the name Synergistes jonesii. It matches the Rfam family "tRNA". From Rfam's summary of the family: Transfer RNA (tRNA) molecules are approximately 80 nucleotides in length. Their secondary structure includes four short double-helical elements and three loops (D, anti-codon, and T loops). Further hydrogen bonds mediate the characteristic L-shaped molecular structure. tRNAs have two regions of fundamental functional importance: the anti-codon, which is responsible for specific mRNA codon recognition, and the 3' end, to which the tRNAs corresponding amino acid is attached (by aminoacyl-tRNA synthetases). tRNAs cope with the degeneracy of the genetic code in two manners: having more than one tRNA (with a specific anti-codon) for a particular amino acid; and 'wobble' base-pairing, i.e. permitting non-standard base-pairing at the 3rd anti-codon position. The record is from Rfam by way of RNAcentral. Lineage: Bacteria; Thermotogati; Synergistota; Synergistia; Synergistales; Synergistaceae.